Molecule: long non-coding RNA, 211 nt
Organism: Sphaeramia orbicularis (orbiculate cardinalfish)
Lineage: Eukaryota; Metazoa; Chordata; Actinopteri; Kurtiformes; Apogonidae
Exons: 3
Source: RefSeq, a predicted model, not a curated record
GGGGAAUUCUCACAUAAUCACUCUUGCCCACCCUAACAGCCCUUAUUCCUUUCGUGUGAAUAAGGUCUCAAAGAUAUGCUUCGGUUUGCUCUGUGCUGCAUUGGAAAUAUCAGCGUUAAUAAUUGUUUGUGUGACGGAUCCAGAUGUCACUGUCAUUGCCCUGGUGUCUGUGGUAAUAGGGAUUCAUUUCAUAAAACUGGUGAUCUGCUGU